Acanthosepion pharaonis is the source of this 111-nucleotide non-coding RNA. Lineage: Eukaryota; Metazoa; Mollusca; Cephalopoda; Sepiida; Sepiidae. The record is from the annotation of a GenBank genome assembly.
UAUGGCCAUAUCAUGUUGAAAUACCAGUUCUCAUCAGAUCACCUAAGUUAAGCAAUAUCAAGCCUGGUCAAUACCUAGAAGAGUGAUAUUUUGGGAAUACCAGGUACUGCU